Molecule: small RNA, 84 nt
Filed under: Erwinia billingiae
Lineage: Bacteria; Pseudomonadati; Pseudomonadota; Gammaproteobacteria; Enterobacterales; Erwiniaceae
Description: CyaR/Rye RNA
Rfam family: CyaR/Rye RNA
About the family: This sRNA was originally identified in a large scale screen of E. coli. It was shown to bind Hfq and called RyeE.
Source: Rfam by way of RNAcentral
UUGUCAAAAACGAGAAUUCGAAACGGCAGUCUUUAUCAGGAACCACCUCCUUGGCCCGUCCGGCUCCCCCGGACGGGCUUUUCU